CCUACGGGAGGCAGCAGUGGGGAAUUUUCCGCAAUGGGCGAAAGCCUGACGGAGCAACGCCGCGUGAGGGAUGAAGGCCUCUGGGCUGUAAACCUCUUUUAUCAAGGAAGAAGAUCUGACGGUACUUGAUGAAUAAGCCACGGCUAAUUCCGUGCCAGCAGCCGCGGUAAUACGGGAGUGGCAAGCGUUAUCCGGAAUUAUUGGGCGUAAAGCGUCCGCAGGCGGUCUUGUAAGUCUGUCGUUAAAGCGUGGAGCUCAACUCCAUUUCGGCGGUGGAAACUACAAGACUAGAGUGUGGUAGGGGCAGAGGGAAUUCCCGGUGUAGCGGUGAAAUGCGUAGAUAUCGGGAAGAACACCAGUGGCGAAGGCGCUCUGCUGGGCCAUAACUGACGCUCAUGGACGAAAGCUAGGGGAGCGAAAGGGAUUAGAUACCCCUGUAGUCCUAGCCGUAAACGAUGAACACUAGGUGUCGGGGGAAUCGACCCCCUCGGUGUCGUAGCUAACGCGUUAAGUGUUCCGCCUGGGAGUACGCACGCAAGUGUGAAACUANAAGUAGAGUGACGNGUGAGAGUUGCGAGACGACGACGAGGAGAG
This 594-nucleotide ribosomal RNA is filed under the name uncultured bacterium. RNAcentral's name for it is "bacterial SSU rRNA". It matches the Rfam family "Bacterial small subunit ribosomal RNA", at positions 338 to 945 of the family's 1533-position model. The record is from RNAcentral.